RNAcentral lists this unclassified non-coding RNA (1375 nucleotides) under Hevea brasiliensis (rubber tree). Lineage: Eukaryota; Viridiplantae; Streptophyta; Magnoliopsida; Malpighiales; Euphorbiaceae. The record is from RNAcentral.
AGAGAGAGAGAGAGAGAGAGGAUGCACCAAAGCUGAUCUUUCAUUAUUAAUUUAUCAAAAAAUCUAAGCAAUAGAUUAAAAAUUGAAAGUUCUAGUUCUCUUGCUCCAGAAUAUGUUUGGUAGAAUAACUCUCAAAACCUACAUGUUAAAAUGAGAAAUCCUCAUUGAUUUCUUAGGGUAGGUUUUUUCUUUUCUUCAAAUUUUCUAGUUCAAACCCUAAACACAUCGUUUACCUAAAGAGAAAUGGGUUGUUUUUUUUUCCUCUUUGCCUUGGGUGUUGGGUCGGUUGGUGGGGCAUGGGGGAGGGAAUUGUUAAACCUAUUAAUAAUUACUGAAAUUCAAAUUUGCAGAUUCAAAUUUUCCAGGCUUAUUUUUUAAGAAUUGAAUUAAAAAGUUCGUAAAAUUUUAAAAAAUAUACACUUUAAUCCUUUUAUAACAUUUUAAUCCCUUACCAUUUAACUCAACUUUUAAUUCUCAUUUUUUAGAUAAAAUAACAUUUUAGUCUCAUAUCUUGAUAAAAUAACAUUUUAGUCUCAUAUCUUUUACUUUUCUUACAAAUUAAAAAUUAGUUCUAUCUAAAAUCUCAAGUACUAAAAUGUUAUUUAAAGCAAAAUCUUAGAGAUUAAAGUACAUGAUAUUUUAAUUGUACAACUGAAGUGUUAUAAAAUUAAUUUUUUUAAUUCAUCUUAAUAGGACUUAAAUGUGAAUUUUAUUAAAAGUUAGGGGGCUUACAGUAAUUUACAUUUAAUUUUUGUUGAAAAGACUACCAUACCCCUAGUGUAUUUUAUAAAAAAAAAACCCUCAGAGGUGGCUCAAUGCCCCCUUGACCACUUAUUAGGUCUGUCCCUGAACUACACAAAAGGGGAAACUCCAAAAUGGAUUAAAAUUUUCACAUUCAACUGCAUGUGGACCAUAAAACCACUAUUGCAGCACAAGACACCUUACAGUGAGUUCAUAUGUCUGUUACGAAAUCAAUCACAGAGAAUCUUGACACACUGAAGCAAUCUAUUAAGGGGAUCUCAAAGUUUCAAAACCAACAGAUGCACACUCAAGUUUGGUUUCAUAUAAACAACAACAGCAGUUAUUCACGUCUCUUGGGAAUCCUAGAAAUCAGUUAGAAAGGAAAGAAAAACAUAGCGGGCACCUAGCAGAGUCUCUUGGCCUUUCAUAUCAGAGACAUGGCAGUUCUGACUUGCACGGGUCCAGCAGAAUGAAAGGCCAAGGCUUCAAGGGAGAUAGAAGGCUGCCCUUAUGUAGCUCAGUCAUUGUAUAAAUAUAAAUGAAAACCUCUGUGCAAGUCUGUGGGUUGGUGGUUAAAUGUAUAUGCAUGAAAAAGAAGAGAGGACUCACCGUUGGCAAAUUCUUGCUGCGAAGA